UACUGAGAUAACGGAAGAAUUUUUGAAGUAGUAAAUUAUAACUAAUGUGGCUUGUAUGUAGAUACAAAUGCAAACUGAGUGUUGUCGUCUGAGAGAACUUUGUUUCUGUGUGUGUAGCAUUGUGGUUGUUUUUUGUUGUACUUCAGUGUUUCUGUUGUUUCGUUCUUUUCCUCAUAAAGUUGACGUGUUUCCCUCGGUUUAAGUUUGUAACCCGGGAUUUGUUUUCUCUCAAUUGAUUUAUGACUAUCGAACAGCAGUAUACUACUCUCAGUACUGUUGUGUUUAUUUGUUACUGCUUUGUGUGUUCUCUGUAGACAAUUUAUAUAUUACAAGUAGAUUGAAAUGUUUAAUAGUUAUUGGAUAAUUAUAUGUGAAGUUGGGCUCCAAGACAGUAUUUUCCCAUGUUGUAUAUCAUACAACUAUUUGCGAAUUUUAAAUGUUUAUAUGCAGAUGAUGAUAUUUCCUAAUUGAGUAUGCGAAUCAUAAAAAGAACACGAUGAACAUAACUUGCAAAAUUUUAUAAUAUUUAUGCAAAUAUUGACUGUAUGAUUAACCUGUAUUAUUAUUUCCAUAGUUUUGUACACGUUUAUCUUUCCUUUUUACAAUUUCUUU
RNAcentral lists this long non-coding RNA (612 nucleotides) under Mytilus galloprovincialis (Mediterranean mussel). The record is from RNAcentral. Lineage: Eukaryota; Metazoa; Mollusca; Bivalvia; Mytilida; Mytilidae.